This 345-nucleotide ribosomal RNA is filed under the name Triticum aestivum (bread wheat). RNAcentral's name for it is "partial small subunit ribosomal RNA". The record is from RNAcentral. Lineage: Eukaryota; Viridiplantae; Streptophyta; Magnoliopsida; Poales; Poaceae.
AUGCAUGUUUAUUUGUCUGUUUCAUGUGUGCAAGUGCUCCAUUGUGUGUGUCUUGACUGUGUGUCUGACUAUGUGUGUGAUGUGCCCCUAUCUAUGUAUGCUUUGUUUGUUUCAUGUGUGCAAGCACUCCAUUGUCUGUGUGUGACUGUGUUUGACUGCUUAGAUGGGGUGAUUCUGAUUGUGUUACUGCUUAUAUGGUCUGUCCAAUUGGUUUCUUCUUCAUGCUUUGCUUGUGUUCCAGUGUCGUCUCCCCAUAUAUGGGGAUGUGUUGAGGGAUGCAAACCAUGUAGGCCGUUUCGACCAGGCAGGGAUCCAGAGACACUGGUCAGGCUUCUCUCCUGCUGA